UAAGGAAUAUUGGACAAUGGUCGCAAGACUGAUCCAGCCAUGCCGCGUGCAGGAAGACGGCCCUAUGGGUUGUAAACUGCUUUUGUACCAGAGAAAACCUAUCUACGUGUAGAUAGCUGAUAGUAUGGUAAGAAUAAGCAUCGGCUAACUUCGUGCCAGCAGCCGCGGUAAGACGAAGGAUGCAAGCGUUAUCCGGAUUCAUUGGGUUUAAAGGGUGCGUAGGCGGGCUUGUAAGUCAGUGGUGAAAUCUCUCAGCUUAACUGAGAAACUGCCAUUGAUACUGCAGGCCUAGAGUAUAGAUGACGUUGGCGGAAUAUGACAUGUAGUGGUGAAAUACUUAGAUAUGUCAUAGAACACCGAUUGCGAAGGCAGCUAACGAAACUAUAACUGACGCUGAG
RNAcentral lists this ribosomal RNA (398 nucleotides) under uncultured bacterium. RNAcentral's name for it is "bacterial SSU rRNA". It matches the Rfam family "Bacterial small subunit ribosomal RNA", at positions 355 to 750 of the family's 1533-position model. The record is from RNAcentral.